This 253-nucleotide unclassified non-coding RNA is filed under the name uncultured Pirellulaceae bacterium. Its description in RNAcentral is "contains 16S-23S intergenic spacer region". It matches the Rfam family "Bacterial small subunit ribosomal RNA", at positions 524 to 776 of the family's 1533-position model. The record is from RNAcentral. Lineage: Bacteria; Pseudomonadati; Planctomycetota; Planctomycetia; Pirellulales; Pirellulaceae.
GACGAACCGUCCAAACGUUAUUCGGAAUUACUGGGCUUAAAGGGUGCGUAGGCGGUGUGGUAAGUUGGGUGUGAAAUCCCUCGGCUCAACCGAGGAACUGCGCCCAAAACUACCAUGCUCGAGGGAGACAGAGGUGAGCGGAACUGAUGGUGGAGCGGUGAAAUGCGUUGAUAUCAUCAGGAACACCGGUGGCGAAAGCGGCUCACUGGGUCUCUUCUGACGCUGAGGCACGAAAGCUAGGGGAGCGAACGGG